Molecule: ribosomal RNA, 1487 nt
Filed under: metagenome
Description: bacterial LSU rRNA
Rfam family: Bacterial large subunit ribosomal RNA
Source: RNAcentral
CCUGCACCUCGCGUGAGUGCGAUGGAGGGACGGAGAAGGUUAGGCAGGCCGGGCGUUGGUUGUCCCGGUGAGAGGGUUGAGGCGGUGCUCUUUGGCAAAUCCGGGAGCGCAACGUUGAGACCAAGGACCAGUCCAAUUGGACGAGGCUGCUGAUAUCACGCUUCCAGGAAAAGCUCCUAAGCUUCAGCUCACGAAGACCGUACCGUAAACCGACACAGGUGGGUAGGAUGAGAAUUCUCAGGCGCUUGAGAGAACUCGGGUGAAGGAACUAGGCAAAAUAGCACCGUAACUUCGGGAGAAGGUGCGCCUCUUCUGGUUAAUAGCUGGGGGAGGCCGAAGUAACCAGGCCGCUGCGACUGUUUAUCAAAAACACAGCACUCUGCAAACACGAAAGUGGACGUAUAGGGUGUGACGCCUGCCCGGUGCCGGAAGGUUAAUUGAUGGGGUCAGCCGCAAGGCGAAGCUCUUGAUCGAAGCCCCGGUAAACGGCGGCCGUAACGAUAACGGUCCUAAGGUAGCGAAAUUCCUUGUCGGGUAAGUUCCGACCUGCACGAAUGGCGUAACGACAGCGGCGCUGUCUCCACCCGAGACUCAGUGAAAUUGAAAUCGCUGUGAAGAUGCAGCGUUCCCGUGGCAAGACGGAAAGACCCCGUGAACCUUUACUAUAGCUUUACAUUGAACGUUGAGUUCGUCUGUGUAGGAUAGGUGGGAGGCUUUGAGGUGUCGGCGCUAGCUGGCAUGGAGCCAUCCUUGAAAUACCACCCUGAUGUGCUUGACGUUCUAACCUGGGCCCGUAAUCCGGGUCGGGGACCAUGUAUGGUGGGUAGUUUGACUGGGGCGGUCUCCUCCCAAAGAGUAACGGAGGAGCUCGAAGGUACGCUCAGCGCGGUCGGACAUCGCGCACUGUGUGCAAAGGCAUAAGCGUGCUUGACUGCAAGAUCGACGGAUCAAGCAGGUAGGAAACUAGGACUUAGUGAUCCGGUGGUUCUGUAUGGAAGGGCCAUCGCUCAACGGAUAAAAGGUACUCCGGGGAUAACAGGCUGAUACCGCCCAAGAGUUCAUAUCGACGGCGGUGUUUGGCACCUCGAUGUCGGCUCAUCACAUCCUGGGGCUGUAGUCGGUCCCAAGGGUAUGGCUGUUCGCCAUUUAAAGUGGUACGCGAGCUGGGUUCAGAACGUCGUGAGACAGUUCGGUCCCUAUCUGCCAUGGGCGUUGGAGAUUUGAGAGGGGCUGCUCCUAGUACGAGAGGACCGGAGUGGACGAACCUCUGGUGUUCCGGUUGUCACGCCAGUGGCAUUGCCGGGUAGCUAUGUUCGGAAGCGAUAACCGCUGAAAGCAUCUAAGCGGGAAGCGCGCCUCAAGAUGAGAUCUCCCGGGACACAAGUCCCCUGAAGGAACCAUCAAGACUAGGUGGUUGAUAGGUCAGGUGAGUAAGCGCAGCAAUGCGUUGAGCUAACUGAUACUAAUGAUCCGUGUGGCUUGACCAA